RNAcentral lists this long non-coding RNA (291 nucleotides) under Triticum aestivum (bread wheat). Its description in RNAcentral is "long non-coding RNA (TAES_LNC020474)". The record is from RNAcentral. Lineage: Eukaryota; Viridiplantae; Streptophyta; Magnoliopsida; Poales; Poaceae.
CGCCGGCUUCUUGGACGCGGCCUUUUUCUUUUUGCGGGCGGCCUCUUUCUCCUUCUUAUGCUUGUGGGCCGCGCAGGCGCUAUCGUCGUGUGAAAGCGUCGUCUUGGCCUCCACGAGGUUGAGCUUGCAUCGGGGGCACAGGUGUUCCUCCUGGGCCUUGGCCUUGGCCUUCUUGGCCCUGCCCAUCUGGUAAUACGAAUCCGAUCGUUAAUUAAAAUCUAAUCCACCAUGAAACAAUACAAGGUAGCAAUUGUAGAUGCGGAUUUGGCCAGAAAUUGAAACAAAGCAAGC